AGCGGAAGGGGGCGUGGCAGGCCCAAAAAAGCUCCAUCGCUACUGUAAAAAGUUUAUAAGCUCGCAAAUUCAAGCAAAGAUCGAUAACAUAGAGUAAACUAUACAAACACCAGAUGCAGAUCAGAAAGCUAACACUGGGUCUCAAUGGAGGGACAUAUGAGGUGUGUCUAGAGUCUCAAAAAAGCUAGACCUAACAAUACCUCCAUCAUCUAUUAUUCGUCCCCAAUUAGUGAACGCACCAAAUGAACAAAUAGAGAAUGCAGCGGUAAGUAAUGG
RNAcentral lists this long non-coding RNA (276 nucleotides) under Nicotiana benthamiana. RNAcentral describes it as "long non-coding RNA (NBEN_LNC023862)". Lineage: Eukaryota; Viridiplantae; Streptophyta; Magnoliopsida; Solanales; Solanaceae. The record is from RNAcentral.